This 29-nucleotide non-coding RNA is filed under the name Mus musculus (house mouse). The record is from RNAcentral. Lineage: Eukaryota; Metazoa; Chordata; Mammalia; Rodentia; Muridae.
UCACUUUGUAGACCAGGUUGGCCUCGAAC